Molecule: unclassified non-coding RNA, 337 nt
Filed under: soil metagenome
Description: partial contains 5.8S ribosomal RNA, internal transcribed spacer 2, and large subunit ribosomal RNA
Rfam family: 5.8S ribosomal RNA (bases 1-120)
Source: RNAcentral
GAUGAAGAACGUAGUGAAAUGCGAUAAGUAGUGUGAAUUGCAGAAUUCAGUGAAUCAUCGAAUCUUUGAACGCACAUUGCGCCCUUUGGUAUUCCUUAGGGCAUGCCUGUUCGAGCGUCAUUUAAACCUUCAAGCUCAGCUUGGUGUUGGGUGACUGUCCGCCGCCUCCGGGCGCGUGGACUCGCCUCAAAAUUAUUGGCGGCCGGUACAUUGGCUUCGAGCGCAGCAGAAACGCGAACUCGGGCCCGUCGUAUUGGCUCCCAGAAGCUAUCUUCACAAUUUUGACCUCGGAUCAGGUAGGGAUACCCGCUGAACUUAAGCAUAUCAAUAAGCGAGG